GCCGCCAUCCCGCCAGCAACCGGAGUUCCUCCUCUCCCGCGAGCUCGCGCCCCUGCUUCACCUGCGAGCUCGCGCCACCGUCCCUGACGAUGUCGCCGUCGCUGCACCAGAUCUCCGCCGAGUUGUUGUCGCCCACCACCAUCUGCUACAAUGCAGUCCCGACGCUGACCAACCGAGAGAGGAAGGAGAUCGAAGGAGGUCUAGACACCCAGAUCUGGAAUCGAUCGAGCUCCGUCGCCCCCCUCUGUCCCUGAUGUUGUCCGAGUUGCUACCCUUCGAGCGACGCCGGGGACUCCACCACCGUAGUUGCUGUUUUCGCGGUCGCCGGAGCUUCGGACGCUUGUCACCGUUGCAGCCCUCAGCUAAGCCGACGCCCAGCCCUGUCGCCGAGCCACCGCACGCCUCCGCCUCUGGUCCAACACGCAACACCAGCCCCCGAGCUGCCUCCCCACUGCCCGACGCCGUCUGCGCCGCUGCCCUCCGAACGCCGCUUCCUGCAGCCCGAAGCUGCGACACUGCCGUCGUAAUUCUCGCCGCCUCAAACCGACGCCGUCCUCGCCGUCGCCCUCUAAGCUCGACGCCGUUCGAGCUCUCGCCGCUCGACGCCGCUCCUCAGCCGCAACCCAACGCAGCCCCUGCAGUGCCUCCGCCCGCGACGCAAUCGCCGUCCCUGUUGCUGCUGCUGUCGUCCGCCGCCCAUCGCGCCGCAGUCGCCGAGUCGUCGGCGUCCCGAGCAUCCUCCUCCGGCGCCGCAAAACAGCGGGGGGUGAGAGGAGGCGAACCGGGUCUUGGCCGAGUCGGGCAAAGGUGAAACGGGUAGGGUUUUUGAACAAUUUGGGCUGAGUUUAGGCUUUUUGCUUUUGGGCUUGGGCUAUUUUUGCUUGCGGGCUUAGGGAUUUAAGAACUUGUGGGCUUAGGGAGUUGUGGGCUUCAUUUUUAAAUAAAAGAGAUUGGGCCCGCUGGUUGGGCCCGAUCCGAACCAAAGAAAGGCUCGACCAAGGCUGGUCGGCCGCCCCCCCUAUUUGGACCGAACCCGAUCCGCGUUGACCAAGUCGGGUCGAGCCGAACUCGACUCGGUUCACUUUUUUUUUUUUUUUUUUUUUUUUUUAAAUAAAAAAUUAAUUUAAAAAAAUUAAAUUUAAAAAAAUUAUUAAAAAAAUUAUUAAAAAUAUUAAAAAAUUAAUAAAAAAUUUAAAAAAAUUUAAAAAUUUUGAAAAUCCAAAAUGAUGGGGUUUGGUUAGGAAUUGCUAUGCUUUGCCUUUCUAGUAUAAUUAGACUUUUAUUUGCUUGUAUUUUGAUUAUAUUGUAUGCUUAAUUUGCAUAUCUAAUUAUGUUUAAUUGUACGUGUUUAAUUUUUGCCGCAAUUAAGAUCUUAGUAGCUAUGGUUGUUACUUUAAUGGUUGUGCACUCACAUUAUCACCUCACAUAUUAGUGGAUUGGUAUAAAAUCAAUCCAAACUGUCUGCCAAAUAAUUAUUUUGUUAAAAUGAACAAGAUUAGGUACCGAAAGGGCAUUAAUUGAUCAAUUAAUGUAAUCAAGUCCCCGGCCCUAGAUUCUCUGGUUGCGUAGGAAGUGAGGUACACUCCCAUACCUCACUUGGUUUCUAGCCGACCCCAAUAGACUAAUGGCGACUCCUUUUGUACAAAAAUUCUAAAGAAUAUCCCAAUGUCACGCGGGGUAUGGGCUUGGGAGAGCCCGCGCCUGAUCAUGAGCCUUAGGCCUGUCCUUUAGGCAAUACCCCUAAACCUGUUCCCUCCCCCCGAGGGCAGGUCGCGACAGCUUGACGACUCCAUUGGGGACUUGGUUUUGAACCUUAGAGGACUUAGGCCAAAAUUAAUCUUGUUCAAAAAAAAAAUAUUUUUUUGGCAGCAAGGAUUCCAAGUACGUCCCUAACAUUAAAUGUUUUAAAUGUUUUUGCAGAAUGUGAGGUAUAAGGGGAAGUGUUUGCUCAUAUUUGUCUUGCAUGGAGGUGUUGGAAUGUAUGGUUUAUUUUUUAUAUACGGAGUGUUGUUUGCCUAUAAAUUGUUGUGCAUGUAUAUUUUGUAUUGCACUACACCCUAGCACACACAAUCUGCCGCCAAACCUGGGCCGCAUAGGAUCACUUAGGAUGGUGUUGAGGUGGAUACCACUCCGACUACAAGCAUGUAGUACGAGUCGCCCAUCUCAACCCCGAAAUUUCUUUCUUGAUGUCAGAGGUCCCCACCUUGGUUUGCGAGCAUGUGACAUGGGUUGGUCCUUUGACGAAGCCGGAGUCAUGGGUAAUACGACCUAGCCACGAGCUUGUUGGUUCAGUCCUGUGAUCCCAUGGCUCCAUUUUGGGCUGUAUAAAGUAGAAUUCGAACCACAUUCCAUGUGCAUGUCUAUGUGAUUGAAAAAAAAAAAACAGCAUGAGACAAAUGUCGACACCCAUUGUAAGUAUCAUUUCCCUUUUUAUUUGCUCGUUUUGUAUUGCAUUUUCAUCUUGAAAUUUGUGGAAAUCAAUCGAAUGCCCUUGGUGAUGUAAGCUUAUGAUUGAAAAUUUGACAAUCACUUUUGACAAGUGAGCAUUUGAAUGCAAGUUCUAAGCAUUUUGAUUUGACCCUGUUGAAUACAUGGUUUUGUUUAAAUUUCUAGUUAUGGGCUCAAAAUCAUUUCGAAAAAAAAAAAAACUUUCAAGUUGUGAUUUUAUGUUGGGGCACAAAAAUUGAAAUUGCAUUUUUUAUCAAAUUUUCUCAUUCUCAUGUUUUGGGACUGUAAUGCAAAUCAUUUUGUGUACAAAUUCCUUAAAAUAGAAAUCACUUCAUUUUUCUAGGAGUAAAAUCACAAAUCAAUCUUUCAAAAAUCAAAGACACUUUUGCAUUAGGAAACUUUUGGAAUAAAAGUGGACAUUCGACUGAUGGCCGUGGAUUGAUAAUUUUAAUGAAGUCUUCUCUUAUGAUAAAAUCUUAGCGAAAUACUAAAGUCUUGUAAUAAGGAUUGUGGGGCAUGUAUUGUCGCCUUGAUUUUAUUAUAAGAAGUGACGUCAUUAAAAUAUCAUUUUCUCUCAUACACAUAUUGACAUUGUUGUCUUUUUGCAGGUUAUGCAUGAUGCUCUUUGACAUUCUCGUGGUGACCAUUCGAGAAAGUGAAUUCUAGAGCUAGGACAAGAGUUGUUUUUUAACUUUCAUCUGUAAAAGAGUCUCUUGUAUUUUAUCAGUCUUUAUUCUUGUUAAGAACCAUGUUUUUCUUUUUGAACCUUUAUUGCGAAUCCAAUAGUUGCUUUUGUAAAUCGUGCAACUCAAAUUUUUAAUGAUGGAAUUCAAUUUCAUGAAAAUCAUCAUUUAAAAAAAAAACAAAAGAUAAAAACAAAAACAAAAACAAAAACAAAAAAGAGCAAAUUCAAAAGUGUUUUAAGUGAACUUAUACGUUUACUUUCCAAAAUGAAUUUCACGAAAACGUUGCUUAAUGCCCUCUCUUCACGUAGUCGUUUUCUUGGGCUCAUUGAACUCGAAGAGCAAGCAUGCGUUGAGGUUUCGUCGGUACCAAUUUUCCAUAGAGGUGGAACGAAGUUAAAUUCCAUUAUGAGAAGUUUUGUUAUUCGCAAAUGCCUUAGAUGCCAAAACAACCCAUCAAUCUCGUUCACUUUACAUGAUGAGACAAAUGAAAGGAGUUGUCAAAUAUCCAAAAGAGCAAAUUCAAAGGAAGAGUAAACUAUAUCGAUUUCAAUUAUUCAUUUUUUAUACUGUUUUUUACUUGAUUUUCUUUUCAUUGUCAAGGAGACAUCAAGAGUACCAAGUUUUGUAAUGUUUCAACAAAUGCGAUGGAACAUUAUUAAGUCAUGUUCAUCUUAAACAAAGAAGGAUUAAAAUGAAACGGAGGCGCAAUAUUAUUCCUUCCUCCAUGAGAGAUACAUUGGGAUGUUGAUCGCUCGACUUUGUAAAGGAUGUAACUCGUUCCUAAACUUGAUUUCUCUUUAGUAUAAAAAAUGACAUAUCAUUUUCUUUGGUACAUGACAGACUCGAACGGAACAUAGGUUUGUCAUAUAAAGAGUGGGAGAACAACGUUUGAUUUAAAGAAAAAUCUCUCAUUCAUCAAAAAGGAUGUAUCGUUCCUCAUUUGAAUCUAACUAAGAAUGGAGAUAACUCGUUUCAUCUCUCCUUCUUACAAGGUGAUAUAUAAAAAAAGUUGCACCUUAACCAUAGAAGCAGCGCCUUCCACCAAGGAAUCAGGAAGACAUCAAGCACUUAAAGGCGAAUGCAAGGGAAUGGUAUUGUCGAGUUACCAAAUAUCCACGAAUGUGAAUCCAAGAGAUGUUAGUGCCCAAAAGAUGAAAGCGAAUGAAGGGUAAUAAUGUAUCGUUUCCAACAUUUCAUUCCCUAAAGAUUUUUGCACUAACAUAUUCUUUCACAUUCUUUACAGGGUUACGGGUCACCAUGCCGCAGGUAAGUACCCUUCUUCUCAAUUUUUUUUUUAAAGUAAAAAAAAAAAGAGAAAAAAAUGGAGAAUUUCCAUUACAAAAAAGAACCUUUUGCGCUUUCCUAGAGACAAAAAAAAUGAAAUGAAUAAUUGAGAAAAAAAAUUACAAACCUUUUGAAGAUCCUUUUUAUCCCAAAAUUGUUUUCUCGUUUUGUGAAUUAUUCAUUUUGAAUCAAAUUCCCUAUGGAGAUUGAUCUAUUCAGAUGAUCUCAACAGAGUGAGAUGGAGACGUUAACCAUGCCAAACAAGAAGUGCUUAGGGUGAAGAAAGGCAAGCCCAUUUCCAAACACGUCCUUUAAACACUUUUGAGAGUUGAGUGAAAAGCGAUAUUCUCUUAGGACGAAAGAUUCAUUCGCGUUGAGCACAAAGAUUGAAAUGACAAAAGCGUUUCAUUCAUCAAUCCCAAGUACCAAGCUGACAUCUUGUUACCCUUUUGAGCCGAAUAAAGAUGAUCCUUCAAAGUACCCCUAUUGAGAAUGACCCUACAUUAGGGCAACAUAGGAGGUUACGGUCGUGUUGUAAAGCGAAAGGUUGAGAAAGAUUCUAUUUCUUUCACUUGCAUCAAUCUUCUGGUGAUAGCUUCAAAUGAAUUCUCAUUAGAUCUCGACUUAUCCCAAAGUGAAGAAGAGCAUUUCCUUCUCUACCCAAACACUGAUAUCCAUUGCUUUAACCAAUUUGGUCCUGAUUAUUCAUUUCUGAACCCCAAGCGGUGAUCAUCUCCCUUCACUGGGGCAAGGCAUGAGAAUUGACCAAAUACAAUUGAGAGUCACGAGAAAAUGUGAAAAGCAUCUCGAAAGUCAUAAGAGCUCCAAGAGUUCAAAGAGCAAAAAGUUCUACAAACUAGGGGGCAUGAAAAAGCAGUGUGCCUGGUAAAAGCAAGGCCAAUACCUGUUAAGAAAAAAAAGAAGCCAAAAGUUGCAUCUUAUGUGGAAAAAAAAUUAUCAAGGUCCAAGUGCUUGCGCAAAAAAAAAAAAAAAUUCAUCACAAGAGCAAAGGACAUUAGAGAAAGGAGCAAAGCUCCCAUGCAUAAAAGAUUAGUUAAGGGACUUUCGAGAUGCGUUGUAUUUCAAAAGCCAAAUGAUUUGGAAAUGUCAAGUGACCUGGUCAUGAUGUCAUGAUGAUCACCAACUCUUAAAAACCCUCUUGAAAAUUUUAAGCCUUUCGAGCCUCUCCUAAGCCAACAUUACAACCCUCUUCCGAAGUCUCUUCUGAUUGGGAUGGUUUGAGUGAAAAGAGAAUACCACCAAGAAGCUACUGCUUGAAGGAGUGGAAGUAAUUUUAUCUUGUCUCAUCUUCCAAGCUCUCGACUUGUAAAGCCGAUGAAGAUAGUGACAGAUGUUCCUUUGUUGGCCUCAAAGCAAUAAUUUCUUUGUGUAAGCCCUAAUCGAGCCUAUAUUGCGGUCCUUUCAAAGACCUUUUUGAUCGAUCAGAUUGUGCUCAUUGCGAUGUUUCCGGAAGCCUUCGACGUAGGUUAUGUAAGAUACCUUCAGCAACCAAUUAUCUCCCCACAUGAAUGGAUGGGAUCAAGUAGCCCUUUUAUUGAGAGUGCGUGAGAAACCAUUUCUAACUAAGAAGCUCUAGUUUGGCAUGCUUCAUGAACAUUUUUCUCGAGUCGUAACCGUUCUGAUAGUAACUUGUCUCCUAGAGAAUUUGAUGAUUAAUGAUAUAUCCAUGAGCAAGAUGACAAUUUUGCGUCACAUGAGGUUGAUGAACAUCGAAUGUUUUUCUAAAGCAGUCGGACUUAGCUUGAUUAUUUUGUUCAAUUAUUGCUACAAUAUUACCAAUACAUCUCUUGAUGACGUCUCUAAUGACAUUUGCUCAAGUUGUUUGAUAGGAUUCAUCAGUGAAGCCAUGCAGUUUUCCAAGGGUUUAGCGGGUGCUUCCAUAAAAACCAAAGGUUGAUGGUCAGCCUUAAACCAUGUCGUCUCCAAAGGCUUAUGGUUAACCUUAAACCAUAUCAUCUCCAAGAUUGGUGGGUUCAUCCGUAAACCACGCUUGUCUGCCUCCUAGUCGAAACCCGUUCAUGCACGGUGAGACUAUCAUACCCGGUCAAAACUCUUUUUACACGAUGAGACUUCAGUCAUAUCAUUUCUUAUGACCCGGAGAGCUUUGUAUCCUGGAGUUUUCAUCACUUCUUAUGACCCGGAGAGCUUUGUAUCCUGGAGUCUUCAUCACUUCUUAUGACCCGGAGAGCCUCGUAUCUUGGAGUCUUCCUCAUUUCUCAUGAUCCGGAGAGCUUUGUAUCCGGGAGUCUUCAUCACUUCUCAUGACCCGGAGAGCUUUGUAUCCUGGAGUCUUCAUCACUUCUUAUGACCCGGAGAGCCUUGUAUCCUGGAGUCUUCCUCAUUUCUCAUGACCCGGAGAGCUUUGUAUCCGGGAGUCUUCAUCACUUCUCAUGACCCGAAGAGCUUUGUAUUCUGGAGUCUUCAUCACUUCUUAUGACCCGGAGAAUUUUGUAUCCUGGAGUCUUCAUCACUUCUUAUGACCCGGAGAGUUUUGUAUCCUGGAGUCUUCAUCACUUCUUAUGACCCGGAGAGCUUUGUAUCCUGGAGUCUUCCUCAUUUGUCAUGACCCGGAGAGCCUUGUAUCCUGGAGUCUUCCUCAUUUCUCAUGACCCGGAGAGCUUUGUAUCCUGGAGUCUUCAUCACUUCUCAUGACUCGGAGAGCUUUGUAUCCUGGAGUCUUCAUCACUUCUGAUGACCCGGAGAGUUUUGUAUCCUGGAGUCUUCCUCAUUUCUCAUGACCCGGAGAGCCUUGUAUCCUGGAGUCUUCCUCAUUUCUCAUGACCCGGAGAGCUUUGUAUCUUGGAGUCUUCAUCACUUCUUAUGACCCGGAGAGCCUUGUAUCCUAGAGUCUUCCUCAUUUCUCAUGACCCGGAGAGCUUUGUAUCCUGGAGUCUUCCUCAUUUCUCAUGACCCGUAUCCUGGAGUCUUCCUCCCUUCUCAUGACCCGGAGAGCUUUGUAUCCUGGAGUCUUCAUCACUUCUUAUGACCCGGAGAGCUUUGUAUCCUGGAGUCUUCAUCACUUCUUAUGACCCGGCCUUGUAUCCUGGAGUCUUCCUCAUUUCUCAUGACCCGGAGAGCUUUUGUAGCCCGGAGAGCUUUGUAGCCCGGAGUCAUUCUUCCUAUGACACGGUGUGCUUUGUAGCCCGGAGUCCUUCCUAUGACACGGUGAGCUUUGUAGCCCGGAGAGCUUUUGUAGCCCGGAGAGCUUUGUAACCCGGAGUCCUUCUUAUGACACGGUGAGAUUUGUAGCCCGGAGAGCUUUUGUAGCCCGGAGAGCUUUGUAACCCGGAGUCCUUCUUAUGACACGGUGAGAUUUGUAGCCCGGAGAGCUUUUGUAGCCCAGAGAGCUUUGUAGCCUGGAGUCCUUCUUCUUAUGACACGGUGAGAUUUGUAGCCCAGAGAGCUUUUGUAGCUCGGAGAGCUUUGUAGCCCGGAGUCCUUCUUCCUAUGACACGGUGAGCAUUGUAGCCCGGAGAGCUUUUGUAACUCGGAGAGCUUUGUAGCCUGGAGUCCUUCUUCUUUUGACACGGUGAGCUUUGUAACUCGGAGAGCUUUUGUAGCCCGGAGAGGUUUGUAGCCUGAAGUCCUUUUAUGACACGAUGAGCUUUGUAGCCCGGAGAGCUUUGUAGCCCGGAGUCCUUCUUCCUAUGAUACGGUGUGCUUUAUAGCCCGGAGAGCUUUUGUAGCCCGAAGAGCUUUGUAGACCAGAGUCUUUCUUCCUCUUAUUGACAAGACGCUCUUUCAUAGUUAUGAGUUCUUUCCAUCAACCUAAUACGUGCCUAUGCACCUGGGUCUAUCGUCAAAAUAAUUUAGGUGUCUUUUGUCUUUGAAAGAAACUUCUUCGAGCUCCCAUUCAAAGAGGGGCAGCUGUUGACACCUAAAUUUGCCCAUUUUUCAUUUAGGAUUUAAUUGUCUACAGAAUUAGGAAUUAGUCGUUUAAAAAAAAACGAAAAAAAAACAAACAAAAAAAGAAAACAACAAAAACAACAAAAAAUAGAAAAAAGAAGACAUGGAAGGGGCCGGGCUGGAUUUCGCCUUGGCCCGGCCCAUGCCGCUUUCUCCCUCCUCCAUUUUCGGUGAAACCCUAGCAAUAGCAGGGGGGAGGGGGGAUGGAGACAAAAGGGAGAAGACAACAAGACAGGGGAGGCGGGGAAAAAAGAAAAAGGGACAGAGAGGGAACUGAAGAAGGGAGAGCUAGGCAGAGGGAGAGUGAGCUCGGCAGAGAGAAGAGAGAGAGAGAACACAGGGGAGAAACGAGGGAGGAAGGAGGAGGGGUCUCCGACGCCGUCCGAGCCUCCUCACGUCGUUGCCGCUCCACCCGAGUCGACCGUCGUCCCGCCAGCAGCCGGAGUUCCUCCUCUCCCGCGAGCUCGCGCCCCUGCUCACCUGCGAGCUCGCGCCGCCGUCCCCGACGUGUCGCCGUCGCUGCACCAGAUCUCCGCCGAGUCGUUGUCGCCCACCACCAUCUGCUACAAUGUAGUCCCGACGCUGACCAACCAAGAGAGGAAGGAGAUCGGAGGAGGUCUAGACACCCAGAUCUGAGGACGAGGGUCGGGCAAGGGCCAGAUCUGGAAUCGAUCGAGCUCCGUCGCCCCCCCUUAUCCCUGAUGUUGUCCGAGUUGCUACCCUUCGAGCGACGCCGGGGACUCCACCACCGUAGUUGCUGUUUUCGCGGUCGUCGGAGAUUCGGACGCUUGUCGCCGUUGCAGCCCUCAGCCAAGUCGACGCCCAGCCCUGUCGCCAAGCCACCACACGCAUCCGCAUCUGGUCCAACACGCAGCACCAGCCCCCGAGCCGCCUCCUCGCUGCCCGACGCCGUCUGCGCCGCUGCCCUCCGAAUGCCGCUUCUUG
RNAcentral lists this long non-coding RNA (9290 nucleotides) under Eucalyptus grandis. Its description in RNAcentral is "long non-coding RNA (EGRA_LNC007101)". The record is from RNAcentral. Lineage: Eukaryota; Viridiplantae; Streptophyta; Magnoliopsida; Myrtales; Myrtaceae.